AUUGAACGCUGGCGGCAGGCCUAACACAUGCAAGUCGAGCGGAUAAAGGGAGCUUGCUCCUGGAUUCAGCGGCGGACGGGUGAGUAAUGCCUAGGAAUCUGCCUGGUAGUGGGGGAUAACGUCCGGAAACGGGCGCUAAUACCGCAUACGUCCUGAGGGAGAAAGUGGGGGAUCUUCGGACCUCACGCUAUCAGAUGAGCCUAGGUCGGAUUAGCUAGUUGGUGGGGUAAAGGCCUACCAAGGCGACGAUCCGUAACUGGUCUGAGAGGAUGAUCAGUCACACUGGAACUGAGACACGGUCCAGACUCCUACGGGAGGCAGCAGUGGGGAAUAUUGGACAAAGGGCGAAAGCCUGAUCCAGCCAUGCCGCGUGUGUGAAGAAGGUCUUCGGAUUGUAAAGCACUUUAAGUUGGGAGGAAGGGCAGUAAGUUAAUACCUUGCUGUUUUGACGUUACCAACAGAAUAAGCACCGGCUAACUUCGUG
Molecule: ribosomal RNA, 484 nt
Filed under: uncultured bacterium
Lineage: Bacteria
Description: partial 16S ribosomal RNA
Rfam family: Bacterial small subunit ribosomal RNA
Source: RNAcentral